CGGGUGAGUAACGCGUGGGUAACCUGCCUUAUACAGGGGGAUAACAGUCAGAAAUGGCUGCUAAUACCGCAUAAGCGCACAGAGCUGCAUGGCUCAGUGUGAAAAACUCCGGUGGUAUAAGAUGGACCCGCGUUGGAUUAGCUAGUUGGUGGGGUAACGGCCCACCAAGGCGACGAUCCAUAGCCGGCCUGAGAGGGUGACCGGCCACAUUGGGACUGAGACACGGCCCAG
RNAcentral lists this ribosomal RNA (231 nucleotides) under uncultured bacterium. RNAcentral describes it as "partial 16S ribosomal RNA". It matches the Rfam family "Bacterial small subunit ribosomal RNA", at positions 103 to 334 of the family's 1533-position model. The record is from RNAcentral.